RNAcentral lists this ribosomal RNA (484 nucleotides) under uncultured bacterium. RNAcentral's name for it is "partial 16S ribosomal RNA". It matches the Rfam family "Bacterial small subunit ribosomal RNA", at positions 30 to 507 of the family's 1533-position model. The record is from RNAcentral.
AUUGAACGCUGGCGGCAGGCCUAACACAUGCAAGUCGAGCGGAAGAAGAGAGCCUGCUCCUGGAUUCAGCGGCGGACGGGCGAGUAAUGCCUAGGAAUCUGCCUGGUAGUGGGGGAUAACGUCCGGAAACGGGCGCUAAUACCGCAUACGUCCUGAGGGAGUACGUGGGGGAUCUUCGGACCUCCCGCUCUCGCAUGAGCCUAGGUCGGAUUAGCUAGUUGGUGGGGUAAAGGCCUACCAAGGCGACGAUCCGUAACUGGUCUGAGAGGAUGAUCAGUCACACUGGAACUGAGACACGGUCCAGACUCCUACGGGAGGCAGCAGUGGGGAAUAUUGGACAAAGGGCGAAAGCCUGAUCCAGCCAUGCCGCGUGUGUGAAGAAGGUCUUCGGAUUGUAAAGCACUUUUAGUUGGGAGGAAGGGCAGUAAGUUAAUACCUUGCUGUUUUGACGUUACCAAAAGAAUAAGCACCGGCUAACUUCGUG